Molecule: RNA transcript, 987 nt
Organism: Hypanus sabinus (Atlantic stingray)
Lineage: Eukaryota; Metazoa; Chordata; Chondrichthyes; Myliobatiformes; Dasyatidae
Exons: 3
Source: RefSeq, a predicted model, not a curated record
CAUUCCGGUUCAUAUGUAGCUGCGUCGGGAGAGUGCAGCAAAAUAAAAGCUGUUUUGUAGAAAUAAGAUAGUAUUAGCUUCCUGAAAAGGCAAGUUCCUGCAGAAAGUACUUCAACUUGAUGAAUAUUGUCAGCAAUAGAUUCCAAUGCAGAAGCUGCCGAAUCUGCGCCAGAUUUUAUGUCUUAUCUCAGGAAAAGCUGCAAAGCCGUUCAGGGGAACAAACCGUUCGUGGGAAUGGUUCUUUUGAAGACCCUGACCUGGAGUUACACAUUGACUUCAGUUCUUUGUGGAAAGGGGACCCAAUCUCAGGGCCUCAUAACUGGCUGCUUUUUGAUAUGCGGCCUGGAAGACGAGCGUGCCUUCAGGGUGCCGGACUUUUCUGGCUCUGGAGAAUGGCUGAUUCAAGGCCGGUGUCCCCAACUGAAGCCUUGCGGAAGAAAAAAGAACAUCGGGAGCUAUGUGUAUAGAGCCGACUCUUGAGGCACAAAGCUUGAAAGAUGGGACGCAACAAAAUUUUAACAUCAUAAAUCAAUUCUGGCCGCCAGCUGUACGUAACCGUGCUUAAGAGUUUCGAGCCCCACUACUCAAACCAGGAAACAAAAGGCUCCUGCUCGGAUGAGAACAAAGAAUACAGGAUCUCGCCGCAGAAUCUGGAUCGCUUCCAAGGACUGAAGGGCAGUUGCAUAUUAAUUUCUCACAGGAACUGCUUCCUGUUGCAAGGUCUCGGUUCGAAAAGGCCGUCUGCUCCAGCAUUUUGAGUGUAACUGUGAGUUCUAGCAGUUGCAGAUUUUUCUCCUCGGUGAUUCAUCCCCCAGGUCGCCAAAUGUAGGCAAAAAUACUUGAUUCGAAUUUAUAACUAACUAUUGGUUGAGUUAGAAGAAGCUUACGUGAACAAUUCAGUUACUAUGGAAGUUAAACCUCGCCAUUUGACACAAAAGUACACGGAAAAAUUACGACAUAAGACGCAAAGCUUUUACCUUCUCGAGC